GGAGUCUGGGCCGUGUCUCAGUCCCAAUGCGGCCGAUCAACCUCUCAGUUCGGCUACCGAUCGUCGCCUUGGUGGGCCGUUACCCCGCCAACCAGCUAAUCGGACGCGAGCCCAUCCCUCAGCGGAUUGCUCCUUUGGCAGCAGAACCAUGCGGUCCCGCUGCGUUAUGCGGUAUUAGCGUCCGUUUCCGGACGUUAUUCCCCUCUGAGGGGCAGGUUGCUCACGCGUUACUCGCCCGUCCGCCACUAAGCAAAAGGGCAGCCCUCUUUGCUCCGUUCGACUUGCAUGUGUUAGGCAUGCCGCCAGCGU
This 309-nucleotide ribosomal RNA is filed under the name uncultured Oscillospiraceae bacterium. RNAcentral describes it as "partial 16S ribosomal RNA". Lineage: Bacteria; Bacillati; Bacillota; Clostridia; Eubacteriales; Oscillospiraceae. The record is from RNAcentral.